RNAcentral lists this ribosomal RNA (1086 nucleotides) under Staphylococcus pseudintermedius. RNAcentral describes it as "partial 23S ribosomal RNA". It matches the Rfam family "Bacterial large subunit ribosomal RNA", at positions 380 to 1471 of the family's 2925-position model. Lineage: Bacteria; Bacillati; Bacillota; Bacilli; Caryophanales; Staphylococcaceae. The record is from RNAcentral.
CGAAAACGAAUUCUCUCUUGAGUGGAUCCUGAGUACGACGGAGCACGUGAAAUUCCGUCGGAAUCUGGGAGGACCAUCUCCUAAGGCUAAAUACUCUCUAGUGACCGAUAGUGAACCAGUACCGUGAGGGAAAGGUGAAAAGUACCCCGGAAGGGGAGUGAAAGAGAACUUGAAACCGUGUGCUUACAAGUAGUCAGAGCCCGUUAAUGGGUGAUGGCGUGCCUUUUGUAGAAUGAACCGGCGAGUUACGAUCUGAUGCAAGGUUAAGCAGAAAAUGUGGAGCCGUAGCGAAAGCGAGUCUGAAUAGGGCGAAUGAGUAUUUGGUCGUAGACCCGAAACCAGGUGAUCUACCCUUGGUCAGGUUGAAGUUCAGGUAACACUGAAUGGAGGACCGAACCGACUUACGUUGAAAAGUGAGCGGAUGAACUGAGGGUAGCGGAGAAAUUCCAAUCGAACUUGGAGAUAGCUGGUUCUCUCCGAAAUAGCUUUAGGGCUAGCCUCAAGUGAUGAUUAUUGGAGGUAGAGCACUGUUUGGACGAGGGGCCCCUCUCGGGUUACCGAAUUCAGACAAACUCCGAAUGCCAAAUAAUUUAACUUGGGAGUCAGAAUGUGGGUGAUAAGGUCCAUAUUCGAAAGGGAAACAGCCCAGACCACCAGCUAAGGUCCCAAAAUAUAUGUUAAGUGGAAAAGGAUGUGGCGUUGCCCAGACAACUAGGAUGUUGGCUUAGAAGCAGCCAUCAUUUAAAGAGUGCGUAAUAGCUCACUAGUCGAGUGACACUGCGCCGAAAAUGUACCGGGGCUAAACAUAUUACCGAAGCUGUGGAUUGUCCUUUGGACAAUGGUAGGAGAGCGUUCUAAGGGCGUUGAAGCAUGAUCGCAAGGACAUGUGGAGCGCUUAGAAGUGAGAAUGCCGGUGUGAGUAGCGAAAGACGGGUGAGAAUCCCGUCCACCGAUUGACUAAGGUUUCCAGAGGAAGGCUCGUCCGCUCUGGGUUAGUCGGGUCCUAAGCUGAGGCCGACAGGCGUAGGCGAUGGAUAACAGGUUGAUAUUCCUGUACCACCAUUAUUCGUUUUAAGCGAUGGGGGG